AACGAACGCUGGCGGCAUGCCUAACACAUGCAAGUCGAACGAGACCUUCGGGUCUAGUGGCGCACGUGUGCUUACCGCGUGGGAACCUGCCCUUAGGUUCCGUAUACUUCCCCGUAAGGGGUGCUAAUACCGGUUAAUCUCAUCCGGCCUAAGAUGUCUCGCUUUUGGAUGGGCCCGCGUCGGAUUCGCUAGUUGGUAGGGGACAAGCCUCCCAAGGCGACGAUGCAUAGCUGGUCUGUUACGAUGAUUAGCCAGACUGGGAAUGAGACACGGCCCAGACUGGUACGGGAGGGAGCAGUAGGGAGUAUUGGGCGAUGGGCGAAAGCCUGAUACAGCAAUGCGGGGGAUGUGAUGAAUGCCUUAGGGUUGUAAAGCUCUUUUACCCGAGAUGAGAAUGACAGUACCGGGAGAAGAAGCUCCGGCUAACUACGUG
RNAcentral lists this ribosomal RNA (433 nucleotides) under uncultured bacterium. RNAcentral describes it as "partial 16S ribosomal RNA". It matches the Rfam family "Bacterial small subunit ribosomal RNA", at positions 29 to 507 of the family's 1533-position model. The record is from RNAcentral.